RNAcentral lists this ribosomal RNA (547 nucleotides) under Euryarchaeota archaeon UBA68. RNAcentral describes it as "bacterial SSU rRNA". It matches the Rfam family "Archaeal small subunit ribosomal RNA", at positions 917 to 1467 of the family's 1478-position model. Lineage: Archaea; Methanobacteriati; Thermoplasmatota; Candidatus Poseidoniia; Candidatus Poseidoniales. The record is from RNAcentral.
GCCGGAAAACUCACCAGGGCCGACGGACAAAUGAAGGUCAAGUUGACGACUUUACCGGAUUGUUCGAGAGGUGGUGCAUGGCCGUCGUCAGUUCGUACCGUAAGGCGUUCUGUUAAGUCAGAUAACGAACGAGACCCCCAUCCCUAUUUGCUAUUUCAAUCGCCAGAUUGGAAGCACUAUAGGGAGACCGCUGGUGUGAAACCAGAGGAAGGUGGGGGCAACGGUAGGUCAGUAUGCCCCGAAUGUCCUGGGCUACACGCGCGCUACAAAGGACGGGACAAUGGGAUGCGACAUCGAGAGAUGAAGCUAUCCUGAAACCCGUUCGUAGUACGGAUUGAGGGCUGUAACUCGCCCUCAUGAAGCUGGAUUUCGUAGUAAUCGCGUCUCAAAAUGGCGCGGUGAAUAUGCCCCUGCUCCUUGCACACACCGCCCGUCAAACCAUCUUAGUUGGGGUUGGGUGAGGCUACCUUAUUUUGGGGUAUUCGAGCCUGUCUUCGACAAGGAGGGUUAAGUCGUAACAAGGUAUCUGUAGGGGAACCUGCAGAUG